CGUGGUGUGCAUACGUGUGUGUGCAUGUAUGUCUGUGCAUGUCUGUAUGCCUGUGCAUGCACUACGUAUGUGCAUGUGUGCACACACAUGCGUGUGCACUGUGUGGUGCACGUUUCUGUGCACGCCUGUGUGCACUGUGUGGUGUCCAUAUGUGAUUCCAGCGUGAGUGUGUGUGAGUGCGUGAGGCUUGUGUGUCUGCAUUCAGCAUGCACACACCACUCUGAGUGUCGAGUGUACACCGGUGUGUGUGGUCUCACUGCGUGGAUGAUGUGUAUGCAUGUGUGUGCACACGUGUGGACCUCAGGCAGGGUCUGAGAGACUGGAAGUUCCUCCAGUUUAAAGGUUGUGAAAAACGUUAUGGUUUCCAUGGUGACCCUGGGCCAGCCUGGCGCCUGGACGGGCUCUGCUUGCUUUUCUCUGUGAUUGUUCCUCUUGUCCCCCUCAACCGUCCUCACCUUUUAGCCCCCACUCCCUUUCUGGGCACCCUGCUCUGCUCUGCUCCUCUGAGAGCCUGAACUUCCCAUGAGGCCUGCGCUCCCUUCCUUGAGGCACCCCCACCCUCUCCACACCUCCCCUCCCCCUCCCCCGCUGCCCCCAGUUUUGCAAUCUCGUUUUGCUUCCCCGUUGGUCGCUGACCGGGCCUGACUUUGAAAUCUGUUGAAAGGAGACCUUUCUCCUUGGGGCCAAUGUAAACAGCCGGUCAUGUUAACUCAUGUUCUCUUCCUCUCUCAGCCUGCCUCCCGGGGGUGCUUGGGGAGGGCUGAGCCCCUCUCCUCACGCUCCCCUGCCGGCCGGCCCGGCCCCUGGGGCGUGGUGUGCGCCAGCCGCUCGCUCCAGCACCAGGUCAGCUGCGCAGCCCCCAGCCUUGGCAAGCAGCCCAGGGAGUGUGCGAGGCCGCCCCGUCCCCGUGGGCCCCGCUGGGGCUCCAGCUGACCCUCUCCUCCUCUAGCCCAGAUCCGCGUGCCCUCCUGCCCUUGCCACACACAGGCGUCCCCCCGUCCUGCCAACCCCCCUCAGAAAUGCCUCUCCGAUCUGCCUGCCUGCUGAGCCCAGGUCCCGGAGGCUCUCGCGUAGGGCCGUGGUCUCCCUCUGAUGGGCUGUGAUGGCAUCCUCAAACUGGGCCUGGAGGGCCUUCAGCUCCUCAGUCGUGGCACUGAUGGUGGCCUGCGGGGAGAAGGGAGCCCACGGUGGCACCAGGGAGCUGGGCCCAGCAGUGGAGGGUGAGGCUGCUGGGAUGAGGAGACGUCCACGGCCCCUGACAGCUGUGAUGUCGCCCUCUCCUGCUGCGCAGUGCCCUGGGGAUGGGGCACAAGCCCUCCAUCCCGGCUCCGAGUCACCGAGCGUCCCCCAAGGCCCCGCUGCCUGGACGCCCCGGCCCCCCAGCAGGCGGCCUGCGCGUGCCUCUGUGCAGUCAGUGAGAAGGGCUCCCGUUCAGAAUGGGCAGAGAAGGGGGCUGCCUCCCACACCUGGCACCAUGGCCUGUGUUCUGUUCACUGCACACUGAACCAUACAUUCAACGCCAGUCAGGUAGGUGUCCAACCCUGCGUCCUUGCCAGGGACAGGGAGGAAAGGCUCGCCUGAAUUUAAAAUAAGCCAACAAGUACGGGAAUGAACGGCCUCGUCACUGAACAUGCUGGGAGCUGGAAGGACAGAGGCAGGAGGCAGGUGUGGGCCCAGCUAAUGGGGUGUGUGUGGCCAGGGAGGGCAGAGAGCUGGGGGUUGGCGAUCAGCCUCGCCCUCAAUCCUACCUGUUCCUGGCAAGGAGAGGAGUGGCGUCCGGUGCCUUGAGCCCAUUCCCUCCCUGCCCAGGGCACCCUCGCACCUGUGUCUGUUCAGGGCCAGCCCCUGCCACCCAGGACAGCAGCCCCGACCUCAACACAAACAGCCCCUCCUCAGGCCGCCUGGGCCCUUGGAGAUCCUGCUGUAACUCCUGCAUCUAUGUCCUAUCACUGGGCUCUGGCCACCCUCGCUGUGAGCCCUGCCCAGUCUCUUCAUCUCCCAUGCGGGACCUGGUGCCACGUCACAGAUGGGCUGAAGCCUUGGAGUUCUGCAAGCAGUAACAGACUCAAUGUGGGUGUCCUUUCCUGCCGAGAGUUUCCUCAGGUGCAGGGCCAGCCGCCUCGGGUUGUUUCUCCUUUGGAAGGAUCCCUCUGUUUGGGGGCCUUCAUGAGCCACCCCCAUCCCUCUAGGCAACACUUGCUGCAGUGCAGAGAAGAAAGCUUAAAAGCCCGAAAAUGCUCCAUCUCCCUGAUGGUGUGGGAGACGCGUGUAAGCGAGACACCCUCAGCUCCAAGGGUGGCACGCUGCUCCGUGGACCAGGCUGUGGAAGCAAUGCCUGUCAAAUCCACACAUGUAUAUUCUCUCUAUGCCCAGGCCCAUCUGGGGGGAGGGCAGCCCAGAGACACGUGUGCACCUGUGUGGGCUGACCUAUGCACAGUGUCACCAAUGUCUGUGACAUUGCUGUAACGGCAACAAAGCUGGAGGCAACCCAGACGCCCGUGGAAGGAAGAACAGCCACAGGAAGACCCAGUCCUGGCAGCUCAGCAUGCAGCCCAGAAACAGAAGAACAAAGCUGCAGAUACACAGCUGGGAAAGGCCACCGAGAUGCUUUGAUAAGUGAGAAGAGGAAAGCCCAGGAGCCGGCAUGGACUUUUCAUUCCUUUUGUAUUAAAAAUGCAGCGUUGGGGAGGUAACGCUGUAUAUUUCUGUUUGCAAGCAAUCUUUGGAGGGUGUUGCAUAACAGAAGAUGUAUCAGGUCUUUGUCCUGGGUCCUUGGAGGAAGCUUCUAAACCCUGGGGGUUUCUCAAAAGUGUGGAGCGUCUGCAUUAUUCCUGGCGGGCCCCUGGGACCACACCUGAGUUUAUGCUAAUGAGGUGACUCGGGGUGGGCUCCUACUGAAUUUCAGGAUGAGGACUGUGUGCUGAAAGACCCAUUAUUAGAGGGUUGGGGCUUUGAGCCACGGGAUGUCAGCCCAACCUCCCAGCAGUCACAGAAGUGGGCUUCAAUCACAUAACCAAUCACUCCACCGAUCACGUUACACAGUGAAACCCCAAUAAAACUCUGG
RNAcentral lists this long non-coding RNA (3064 nucleotides) under Pan troglodytes (chimpanzee). RNAcentral describes it as "long non-coding RNA NONPTRT011250". Lineage: Eukaryota; Metazoa; Chordata; Mammalia; Primates; Hominidae. The record is from RNAcentral.